This 425-nucleotide ribosomal RNA is filed under the name uncultured bacterium. RNAcentral's name for it is "partial 16S ribosomal RNA". It matches the Rfam family "Bacterial small subunit ribosomal RNA", at positions 354 to 796 of the family's 1533-position model. The record is from RNAcentral.
GUGGGGAAUAUUGGACAAUGGGCGAAAGCCUGAUCCAGCCAUGCCGCGUGAGUGAUGAAGGCCUUAGGGUUGUAAAGCUCUUUCAGUAGGGAAGAUAAUGACGGUACCUACAGAAGAAGCCCCGGCUAACUUCGUGCCAGCAGCCGCGGUAAUACGAAGGGGGCUAGCGUUGUUCGGAUUUACUGGGCGUAAAGUGCACGUAGGCGGAUUGGUCAGUUAGAGGUGAAAUCCUGGAGCUCAACUCCAGAACUGCCUUUAAUACUGCCAGUCUAGAGUCCAGAAGAGGUGAGUGGAACUCCUAGUGUAGAGGUGGAAUUCGUAGAUAUUAGGAAGAACACCAGUGGCGAAGGCGGCUCACUGGUCUGGUACUGACGCUGAGGUGCGAAAGCGUGGGGAGCAAACAGGAUUAGAAACCCGUGUAGUCC